UAAGUGAAUAGUGAAAGCUGGAGGCUCAACCUUACAGGCUAUUAUUCAAACUCACAGACUCGAGAAUGGUAGAGGUAACUGGAAUUUCUUGUGUAGGAGUGAAAUCCGUAGAUAUAAGAAGGAACACCAAUGGCGUAGGCAGUCUACUGGCUCAUUCUUGACACUAAGGCACGAAAGCGUGGGGAGCAAACAGGAUUAGAUACCCUGGUAGUCCACGCCGUAAACUAUGGAUGCUA
This 236-nucleotide ribosomal RNA is filed under the name uncultured Candidatus Saccharibacteria bacterium. RNAcentral describes it as "partial 16S ribosomal RNA". It matches the Rfam family "Bacterial small subunit ribosomal RNA", at positions 584 to 818 of the family's 1533-position model. The record is from RNAcentral. Lineage: Bacteria; Candidatus Saccharimonadota.